Pantherophis guttatus is the source of this 250-nucleotide long non-coding RNA. RefSeq lists it as uncharacterized. Lineage: Eukaryota; Metazoa; Chordata; Lepidosauria; Squamata; Colubridae. The record is from RefSeq and is a predicted model, not a curated record.
UCCCUAUCAUAGGCACAGGCAGAAUAAGCACGUUGUCAUCAUACAGGAGAACUGAAAGUCGUCUUUUGGUUCUGAUGGGUGAAAAUUGCUUUAUUGAAGUUUGGAUUGGAAUUAUAAUGGCUAUACCCCAGUCUUCUAGGAUAUGAGUGGUGUUGCCAAUAAAAGUGAAAAAUGCGAUAAGAAUGGAGGUCCCACCAGUCGGUGUUAUUUCUGAGAACUUCACUGGGAAUAAAGUCAUUAUCUAAGGCUU